GACGAACGCUGGCGGCGUGCUUAACACAUGCAAGUCGAACGGAAAGGCCCUGCUUUUGUGGGGUGCUUGAGUGGCGAACGGGUGAGUAACACGUGAGUAACCUGCCCUUGACUUUGGGAUAACUUCAGGAAACUGGGGCUAAUACCGGAUAGGAGCUCCUGCUGCAUGGUGGGGGUUGGAAAGUUUCGGCGGUUGGGGAUGGACUCGCGGCUUAUCAGCUUGUUGGUGGGGUAGUGGCUUACCAAGGCUUUGACGGGUAGCCGGCCUGAGAGGGUGACCGGCCACAUUGGGACUGAGAUACGGCCCAGACUCCUACGGGAGGUAGCAGUGGGGAAUAUUGCACAAUGGGCGGAAGCCUGAUGCAGCAACGCCGCGUGCGGGAUGACGGCCUUCGGGUUGUAAACCGCUUUCGCCUGUGACGAAGCGUGAGUGACGGUAAUGGGUAAAGAAGCACCGGCUAACUACGUG
Molecule: ribosomal RNA, 468 nt
Filed under: uncultured bacterium
Lineage: Bacteria
Description: partial 16S ribosomal RNA
Rfam family: Bacterial small subunit ribosomal RNA
Source: RNAcentral